This 473-nucleotide ribosomal RNA is filed under the name uncultured bacterium. RNAcentral describes it as "SSU rRNA". It matches the Rfam family "Bacterial small subunit ribosomal RNA", at positions 26 to 518 of the family's 1533-position model. The record is from RNAcentral.
AGGACGAACGCUGGCGGCGCGCCUAACACAUGCAAGUCGAGCGAGAACCAGGGCUUGCCCUGGGGAAAGCGGCGAACGGGUGCGUAACACGUGAGCAACCUGCCCCAAAGACCGGGACAACCCGAGGAAACUCGGACUAAUACCGGAUGCCCUCACCGGGCCGCAUGGUCUGGUGAGGAAAUGGAUUCCGCUUUGGGAUGGGCUCGCGGUCUAUCAGCUUGUUGGUGGGGUAACGGCCUACCAAGGCGACGACGGAUAGCUGGUCUGAGAGGACGAUCAGCCACACUGGGACUGAGACACGGCCCAGACUCCUACGGGAGGCAGCAGUGGGGAAUCUUGCGCAAUGGGGGAAACCCUGACGCAGCGACGCCGCGUGCGGGAUGAAGGCCUUCGGGUUGUAAACCGCUUUCAGCAGGGACGAAAUUGACGGUACCUGCAGAAGAAGGCCCGGCCAACUACGCGCCAGCAGCCGC